ACUCAUAAUACCCUAUUCAUUUAAAGGUGCCGUGUGUGAAUUUUAGGGGCAUCUAGCGGUGAGAUUGCGAAUUGCAAUAGAGAAUCUACAUGCCCUGGUCCACAUACCCACACUUGCGGUCUUUGCACUUGACCACUUGUCUACUAACAUGACGUAUUUCCUGUAUUCAAGUGGGCGUGAAGACUGCAAGAACUUUUGAUUACCUGAUGGGACACACUUGUUUUGCAAAAAAGCAAGUUUACAGAGCUUUUUUUUAUUUUCAAUACUUUGCAUUUUAAAAUAAACUUCUAAAUGUCUAUUCAGUAGUCGCUAUGUAACUAACAGAAGACACAAUUUUUAAAAUUGUGGUGCUUUAUGCUUUAUAAACAAAAUAUCGUCUUGAACGUACUUUCCGCUUCCGCAUUCUUCAUAAUGCUUACGCUGAAUGUCCUACGCCUUUCCGUAAGUAGAACCUGCAACGGUUCUUCUUUGAACAUCAUAAAAAGCCAUAAAUAUUAUACUUUGUGCACAACGAAUUGGACUUUAGGGCUUUGACAUUGCUGGAAGAGGAAAUAGUGCCCAAAUAACAUUUCAAAUCUUGACAAAAAAUAAUAACUUGGGCCUUUUUGGGACAGUCUUGCGCACUUACUUCCUGUUGCGUGCACGAGCUCUCAAGUGGCCAAGAUCGCAAGUGUGAGUAUUUGUACAGGGCAAUAGUGGUCAACACAGGACAAAUAUUUUGUCAUCUGGGACAGAAGAGAGAAGCUAGUCAAGCAAACACGCUCUGUAGAGCAGUUUGUCCGUUUAGGGUUACUGAAAAAACAUGUCGGUGCAAAAUGGCGAUUUAACAUAAGAGGACCCGCGAUGUAGCCUAUGUAGAAAUGGCUCAUAAAAACAUCAGUUCAUUAUGUAAGCCUACCUGAUUCCUGAGACUCAGUCUGGUUGAUGCGAGACUUUGGAAUCCUGGCGGUGAAUUCUUGAUUGUGUGUAGCCACAGAUGUGCUACUACAGUGGACUGGAUUUGCUCUGUUCAUUUAAGUAUCUUCAUAGAUAUUUUCACACAGUUUCAAUCCUACCUAAGCAGCCUGUCACCAAUAAACAGCCCACAGUUUCACACUUUUAUGGCUUGGUAAAGCAAAAUAUUAGAUGAUAUGUGAUAAUGUGUAAAAUGGCAGAAUUAUUUGCAUUAUAGAUGUACAAUGAGCAGAAAUAACCAUGAUUUAAAAUUUCUUGUCUAUAGUCUUUACUGGUCCACCUUGAUUUCAUAUUAAAAAAAAAAGUGUAACAAUCUCA
Megalobrama amblycephala (Wuchang bream) is the source of this 1272-nucleotide long non-coding RNA. RefSeq lists it as uncharacterized. The record is from RefSeq and is a predicted model, not a curated record. Lineage: Eukaryota; Metazoa; Chordata; Actinopteri; Cypriniformes; Xenocyprididae. The transcript is spliced from 2 exons.